GAUGAACGCUGGCGGCGUGCCUAAUACAUGCAAGUCGAGCGAACAGACGAGGAGCUUGCUCCUCUGACGUUAGCGGCGGACGGGUGAGUAACACGUGGAUAACCUACCUAUAAGACUGGGAUAACUUCAGGAAACCGGAGCUAAUACCGGAUAAUAUAUUGAACCGCAUGGUUCAAUAGUGAAAGACGGUUUUGCUGUCACUUAUAGAUGGAUCCGCGCCGCAUUAGCUAGUUGGUAAGGUAACGGCUUACCAAGGCAACGAUGCGUAGCCGACCUGAGAGGGUGAUCGGCCACACUGGAACUGAGACACGGUCCAGACUCCUACGGGAGGCAGCAGUAGGGAAUCUUCCGCAAUGGGCGAAAGCUUGACGGAGCAACGCCGCGUGAGUGAUGAAGGUCUUCGGAUCGUAAAACUCUGUUAUUAGGGAAGAACAAAUGUGUAAGUAACUAUGCACGUCUUGACAGUACCUAAUCAGAAAGCCACGGCUAACUACGUG
This 497-nucleotide ribosomal RNA is filed under the name uncultured bacterium. Its description in RNAcentral is "partial 16S ribosomal RNA". It matches the Rfam family "Bacterial small subunit ribosomal RNA", at positions 28 to 507 of the family's 1533-position model. The record is from RNAcentral.